Molecule: long non-coding RNA, 6542 nt
Organism: Vicia villosa (hairy vetch)
Lineage: Eukaryota; Viridiplantae; Streptophyta; Magnoliopsida; Fabales; Fabaceae
Exons: 3
Source: RefSeq, a predicted model, not a curated record
AUUAACGCAAUGAGUGAAUAGCCACCGGAAUUGAACGAAGAAGAAAUCAAGAAAAUGGUGCAGGCAGAGGAGAAUGGUAACACCACGACUCUCCUCUAAAAUCCUAACCAUGAAAAUGAAAUGAUGAAAAAGUACACCCCGCACUUCUAUUUGCACCGAGCACUGAAUGAGUGCACAAUCAGGAACUGAAACCAAACCCUGAUUUGACCCAUCUCAUUCGUCCUUUCCGUUAACGCGUGGUGUACAACACAAACAGAGGGAUCCACAAUCAUCACAGAUCUAACGGCACCUAAUCUCCCUCUCACCAUCAACGGUCGAAAUUCAAUCACAGUUAAACCCUCCUCUCCUUCACUGCUACUCAAGACGACUCGUCCUGACCGACUCAGAGAGUGUGAAUGUGACGUGGUGAUGUUAGUACGUUCGUUAGUUAUAGUUAGUGUCUUAGUGAUGAAUUAAAAUGGAGUAAUUAUGUUUAAGAGCGCAAUUUGCGUGCGACGUUUCCCUAUUUAUUUGAGCCUUGUGUGUAGUGGACGAAUAAGGAAAAAAAACUGAAAAGACUGCAUCGCACUCCGUCUCUUCCAUUUUCCUUUUUCUGCAAUUACUUACCUGCUUCUGCUUCUGUUCAUAUCCAUGGCGUGCUUGAUAGCUACAGCGAGAGAGAGAGAAUUGGUUGCGUUCAGAGAUACAGUGGAUAUCGCCACGUGUCAUAUCCACGCUUUGCAUGAUUGCGCCUCUUUCUUUGACCAGUCUAAUCACUGCACCGCACCUUGAAGAGAGAGAAGGCGUUCGUUGAAUUUGGAUCUGUUUGAGUGUUUUCAAUUUUCAUCUUUUAUCUUUUCUAUUUUCUCUUGAUGUUCGUUUACCCUCUUUCUCUCUCUGUUGAUGUGGUUUUGCAGCAAACCCUAGAAAUGUCCGUACGAACAGAUCCGCAUCUGUUUUAAUCCAUUCAAUGAAAAAAAUAACAGAAUAUCUUUUCUUUCAGAUCUGAUUUACUAAUUCUUAGUUAUUUCCUCUUUUGGUUAUUUUUUUCCUCCUUCAAUCUUUCUCUUGUUUUUGCUGUAUUGGGAGAUAGAAAUUGACAGAAGAGAGUGAGCACACAGAGACACUCGUUAUAGUUCUAUACCGUUGCAUUUGCGUGCUCACUGCUCUCUCUGUCAGCUUCCACUGCGCCGGAAGAAUUUACUUUCAUCCUGGUUCUGCUCCCAUUCAUCUCCGGUUCCAUUUUCAACCCUUCUCUCUCAGUCUCUGAAGAUCUUUACUUCCUACUCCAGCAGUGGGAUGCUGGUUCAGGUUAUGCUUGUUUUAUGAUUUCUUGGAGAUCUGAAACUUCAAAUGGGUAAUUUUUUUCAAUUCAUGGUAGGGUUUAUCUGAUAAGGUAUGUGAUACAAAUAGUUGUUUCUUUUUCAUCUAAAUGAUUAUCUUGGUUGUGAAAAAUGCUAGUAGUUGAUUAGAUAAUAUACUGCACAAACCAGUGGCUUGAAUUUUUUGAGUUUGAUACAGGUAAAAGCAUACACAUGGAAUUAACACUAUGCAUGCAUGUUGCUUCUGUGCCUUAAAUUUAAAUUUACUUUGCAUACUCCUGUUACUCCAUCAAAUCAUGUCUUAUCAGAGCAGUUAACUAUCACUUCUAUAUACAGUACCAUUUCCUUCUAAACUUUUUGCUAGUUAACAUGGAAGACUCUACUAAUGAUCUUAAAGGUAUUUGGGAAGGAAUAUUAAUGAUCUUUUUAUGAACUUUCUUGAUGAUUCUUAAUAUUUAAGUAUUAAGCAUCAUUUUAAUACAGAUAUUUUAUAAGUCAAUGUGAUUAAACUAGUGGUUAGAGGUUUUGGUAGUUUGCAUCAAUCCAUAGAUUCAAACUACUAUCCUCUCAAUUCUCAAAUCUCCUUUAUAAGUUUGGUUAUGGAGUAUAUAUGAGCUCAUAUACGUAUAAACUUUAUUUUCAUCAAAUGUACACACAAAAUUCUGAAAAACAUAAUCAUCUCAUGUUCCUUGUGUCUCUUCCUGGCAAAUACAUUGUUUGAUUAAUGUAAUAUUGUUGGAUUAAUAGUUGAUUGUGUCAAUAAUAGAUAAAUUAGAUUUUUUUUAACAUCAAGAUAUAUUAAUAGCACUCACUUCAAGCAAAAAAAAACUACAAAGGUUUACAAUAAAAGGCAUUGGAUAUCAUUCCCAUUUCCCAUUAUAUUCUCUCAUAUUUCAAAUCAUCUAAAAUUGUAACUUGUUAGGAACUAAUUCAUUUUAUCUCAGCUCAAGCAUAUAUUGCUGGAUAAGACUUGUUGCAGGUGAAAACCACCUAUUCAUUGCUUCGAAGACAACACUUACACCGGGAGGAGCGACACAUUUGGAUGGGUCCUUUUGUUUUCAGCAUACUUGAAGAGGAAUCUCCAUAAUAAAGGAUGUCAAUUAUUGGAUCAGGAACUAGCAAAUGCAUGCACUAUGGCAACCUAUUCUGGUAUUGGUAUAUAUAAUUGUUUAUGAAGGCAAGAUGUAUAUGUGGCUUUCCCUUUGUAUUCUUUGCUUGUUUUUCAAUUAUUCAAGCUUUUUAUGUUGUUUUUAGUUUGAUAAAUAGCGGAAACAUGUUUAUUGAUAUAGUACUUAAUAAGCAUGUAUUGCUGAUUGCAGCGUGGUAGUACUGUGUUGAAGUUUAAUACUAGAAUAGUUCUUUAUACGAAUGAUAUAUAUGUAGAGUUCUUCUAUGUCUAUGUUGUAUAUAUGUGUUCGCUUCUGUGUUUAUUUUCUAUUUGUAAUUAAAAAAAAUAGAAUAAUAUUUAUAUUGAAUAUUCUUUUGAUAUAUGUUUGGUUAAUGUUUAGCCUCUGACAAUUUUUGUCUACAUGAACGGAGAGUGCAUAAAUUUUGGAGCUUAUUAAUAUGCUGGAUUCAUUUUCAUAGCUUGGUAGGGUAAAUGGUUGUAUAACAUCUUAUUUUAGUGCGUAAAUUAUUAUAGCAAAGAAUGUGUAGUUUUAAAAUGUUCUAGAUAGAGACUUUCCAAGUGACAUUUUAGAGCGCUGUAAUUGGGUUUUAGGCCUAAACUGAAAGUUAGAGAUAAUGCUAAACUAAAAUAUAACAAAGUAUGAGUAACAUAAGGUAAUAAUGUUGUCAGCAAAAACAUGAAUUAUGAAAUACAAGUUACAGAAGGUAAUGGUGUCAAAUAAGACAUGGAUGCUAAUUCUGGGUAUUUUCGUGUGUGUGUGUGAAGCAGAGAAAGUGGAGGUAUUUCAUUAUGGCUAUGCAGGUGGGCGAUAGUUGGUUGGAUAAGGUGGGCAACAUUCAUGGGGGAGACAUCUAGGUUUUUUAAAGAUAAUUUUUUAUAGGGUUUUUAUGAGGCCAUCCUCCGGUAGGGAUCAUUAAAGAGACUACUAGAAUUCAAAGUAAUUUUCUUUGGGGCGGCUCGGAGGGUGUUAAAAAGAUUCAUUGGGUGAGUUGAAAGGUUUUAUAUGUCUACCGAUUGAGAAAGGGGGGUCUUGGCCUUAGAAGAAUUGGUGUCUUUAAUGUAGCUCUCCUUAAUAAAUGGAAAUGGAGGAUUUUAGAGGAGAAAAAGGUGGUGUGGUACAAAGUUUUGAAGGCGCGAUAUGAUGAUAUUAAUUUGGAGGUUGUUAAUGGUGAGAGAGGAGGUAAGAGGAGGGUUUCAAAAUCAGAUUGGUGGAAAGAUAUUAUCGCUUUGUUCAAAGGAAAGUAUGAGGACGUUUUCGUUAAGAAGGUAUCCUUUUCUUUAGGUAAUGGUUUUUCUGUAUCUUUUUGGCAUUCUUCUUGGUUGUCUUGUGGGUGCUUACGGGAUAUCUUUCCUUCUUUAUUUUCGGCUUCUCUUUUGAAAGAUGCUUCGGUGGGAAGUAUGGGGGGUUGGGUGAGAGAGGUUUUGAAAUGGGGAGAUCUUGGAAUUGCAUCUCCGAACAGCCCCGAUUUAGCCUAUGAAUUGCUUAUUUUACAUGGUAAUUUGAAUCUUGUUUCGCCGAGUAUGGAAGGAAAAGAUAAGGUGGUUUGAAACGAUAGCGUGGAUCAUUCUUUUUCAGUAAAGGGUUGCUAUGAUUUUCUCUCUUCCUCUUUUGUUCCUUUUGGUCCGGCCAAUUUUUAUGAUAAGGCGUUUAGUCUUAUUUGGAAGAUGCAAGUUCCUCUAAAAAUAAAAGCUUUUGGAUGGCGGUGUUUUCUUGAGAAGAUUCCUACUAAAGAUUCGCUUGUUCGUCGAGGUAUCCUUACUCGUGUGGAGGAAAGUAGCCGGUUGGAUUAAUUUUGGUGAGUUCGAAACGGUUGAUCUUAAGGAUAGUUUUUUGAGGUGGAGUCGUUUUUGUAAACACAAGAGGGUAAAAUUUUUAUGAGUUUUGUAACCAUUUGUUUUAUAUCUCUUAAGUUUUAUUUGGUGUGUAAUUUUCCCUUCUCCGAGUAGUGUUUUCUCGGAUCUUUUGUAACCGAGUUUGAGAACUUUUGUUCUCUAUUAAUCAAACUUGCUUACAAAAAAAAUGUAGCUAGUCUUCCAGGUAUCUUGUUAGCGAAGUUGAGGCUCUUUCGGGGAGGUUUGUGUUUUUGGAGUGGAUGCAACAAUGGGUCGGAUGGGGGUACUAAAAACCCAGGCUUAGAUGAGUUAAAUUUUUUUUUUUUUGUUAAGAAGUUUUAGGGUUUGUUCAAGGAGGAUGUGCAUGCUAUGUUUGAUAAGUUCUUUGAGAAUCUGUUAUAUAUAGGAGUUUAACAUCCUUCUUUGGGACUUUCAUCGCUAAGGCUAAUUCUCCGCUCGAGGACAUGUUGCGGUGUGUAUCUUGGAAAGUUGAGGAAUUUGGAAUAACCACAUUCCUUUGAUCAAAAUUGCAUAUAACAACAGUUAUUACUCGAGCAUCGGAAUGGCACCGCCAAAGCAUUAUAUGGCAGGAAGUUUAGGACACCUUUGUAUUGUACAGAGGUUGGUAACAAAUGAAUUCUUGGACCAGAGAUAAUCCAAGAAAUCAUGGAAAAGUUAAAGAUUAUCCAGGAAAAGAUGAAUAAAGCACAAGACCGCCAAAAUAUUUAUAUGGAUCGGUGUAGGAGGCCUUUGGGAUUCGACGAGGGAGAUCAUGUGUUCUUUAAGGUUACCCCUAAGCUAGUGCUAAAGUGACCGUUCACGGUGAAGAAAUUGAGUCUGAGAUAUAAUUGUCUAUAUCAAAUCAUAUGACGGGUAGGUGAAGCGGACUAUCAUUUGACUUUGCACAUUUCUUAUCUGGGCUUCAUGAUGUUUUUCAUGUAUCUCUACCCAAGAAAUUUGCACCAUAUAUUUUUUAACCUAUCCUCCCGCAUACGGUUGAAGUUGCAACAUAUCUCACAUUUCAACCUCAAUCUAGUUGCAUUGUGGAUUAUGCAAUUAAGUCACUAAGAAAUAAGGGUAUACCUCCUUGUGAAAGUUUGUAGGAAGUGUCAUAACUCGGCGAGGCUACAUAGUAGUUAGAAUCAGAAAUGAAGACAUACUACCCUCGUCUCUUCAAGUAAUCUAAAAAUUUCGAGAGCAGAAUUCAAUUAAGGGGGAGAGUGUAAUAUCCCUCAAUUUCAUUAAUUGUAAUUGUUAGUGGUCAAUCAGGAGGAUAGAAGAAAUUAUGGCUAAUUAAUCUAAGUUCCUAAAUCUAACCAAGUUCGUAAUGGCACGAUUAAUAAACACAUUGAUAGAAACCACGUAUUUUUCUCAUUCUUCCUCCUUGCCAAAACUGAAGUUAAAAAUAAUCAAGAGAAAGUGACGAGUAUAAGAGGAAAAUGAGGAUAAGGUAGUUCUAGUUUCAUCUUUGAAGAACUUUCUGUAGGGAUGUCAAUGGGGCGGGGAUACAUUCCUAUUACAAUCUCCGUCCUCGAAUCUAUUCCCCAUCCCCACUUUGGAUCCCCGUUAUGGGGAGAUUUUGUCCCACAUCCCCGUCCCCGCGGGUCCCCACGAAUCCCCAAGAUUUAUGCUGAGAUCCAUAAACACGAUUUUAUUUAUUUAUUAUUUUAAACCAAAUUAAUAGUAAAAACUUCCAAAACUAACUACAAGAAAUUUGGAAAUUAUUUCUUUACGAUAAAUAUAGUGUUUUAACAAUAUUUAAUCUAUAAUAUUGAGUGUCAUGACCACCAAAAUUUCAAACUAAAAAAAUUGAAAUAAUCAUUUAGAUCUCCGCUAACGGAGACAAGUUGACAUCCCUAACUUUCUGGAUGAUUCAUCGGUUCAUCUAGAUAAUCCAAAUAGUCUUUGUUUGCCUCAGCUUUAUUUGAAGGCGAAUCUUCUCUCCUGUUAGGCCUUCUUUGUGUUGCUUCAGUUGUUCUGUUUCUGCUUCGAGUAGUAAUUCUAGCCGAAGUACUUGCUAAGUCAACAACAAAUUAAACUUGAGUUGGUGAUUCCUUCUCAGCCUUUUAUUUCUCCUUUCUGGCUUGCUUCUUCUGACUUACAAUCUUCUUAGCAUCUCUUUCUACUUUUGAUAAUUUUUGUCUGCCUACCCAUGUUGAUGGACGGUGUAAACUUGGAGGAGAAAGGUGAAAUGGUUAAGCUCUAAGGCCUUUGCUUUUAUAGAGAAAUUUUUUUUUGGAAAAGAUUUUCUGAAUCUUAUGGCCAUGCUUCUCGAGCCU